GACGAACGCUGGCGGCGUGCUUAACACAUGCCAGUCGAACGGAAAGGCCCUGCUUUUGUGGGGUGCUCGAGUGGCGAACGGGUGAGUAACACGUGAGUAACCUGCCCUUGACUUUGGGAUAACUUCAGGAAACUGGGGCUAAUACCGGAUAGGAGCUCCUGCUGCAUGGUGGGGGUUGGAAAGUUUCGGCGGUUGGGGAUGGACUCGCGGCUUAUCAGCUUGUUGGUGGGGUAGUGGCUUACCAAGGCUUUGACGGGUAGCCGGCCUGAGAGGGUGACCGGCCACAUUGGGACUGAGAUACGGCCCAGACUCCUACGGGAGGCAGCAGUGGGGAAUAUUGCACAAUGGGCGGAAGCCUGAUGCAGCAACGCCGCGUGCGGGAUGACGGCCUUCGGGUUGUAAACCGCUUUCGCCUGUGACGAAGCGUGAGUGACGGUAACGGGUAAAGAAGCACCGGCUAACUACGUG
RNAcentral lists this ribosomal RNA (468 nucleotides) under uncultured bacterium. RNAcentral's name for it is "partial 16S ribosomal RNA". It matches the Rfam family "Bacterial small subunit ribosomal RNA", at positions 28 to 507 of the family's 1533-position model. The record is from RNAcentral.